ACUUAAGCAUAUCAAUAAGCGGAGGAAAAGAAACCAACAGGGAUUGCCUCAGUAACGGCGAGUGAAGCGGCAACAGCUCAAAUUUGAAAUCUGACCCCUUCGGGGCCCGAGUUGUAAUUUGUAGAGGAUGCUUCGGGUGCGGUGCCGGUCUAAGUUCCUUGGAACAGGACGUCAUAGAGGGUGAGAAUCCCGUAUGCGACCGGCGGCCAACCCCGUGUGAAGCCCCUUCGACGAGUCGAGUUGUUUGGGAAUGCAGCUCAAAAUGGGUGGUAAAUUUCAUCUAAAGCUAAAUACCGGCCAGAGACCGAUAGCGCACAAGUAGAGUGAUCGAAAGAUGAAAAGCACUUUGGAAAGAGAGUCAAACAGUACGUGAAAUUGUUGAAAGGGAAGCGCUUGCAACCAGACCUGCCCGCGAGCGAUCAGCCGUUAUUCUUAGCGGUGCACUCGUCCGCGAUCAGGCCAGCAUCGGUUCGGGCGGCCGGAUAAAGGCCUCGGGAAUGUAGCUCCCCCCGGGGAGUCUUAUAGCCCGGGGUGCAAUGCGGCCAGCCCGGACCGAGGACCGCGCUUCGGCUAGGAUGCUGGCGUAAUGGUUGUAAGCGACCCGUCUUGAAACACGGACC
This 620-nucleotide ribosomal RNA is filed under the name Porpidia melinodes. RNAcentral's name for it is "LSU rRNA". It matches the Rfam family "Eukaryotic large subunit ribosomal RNA", at positions 32 to 667 of the family's 3401-position model. Lineage: Eukaryota; Fungi; Ascomycota; Lecanoromycetes; Lecideales; Lecideaceae. The record is from RNAcentral.